CGGGUGAGUAAUGUCUGGGAAACUGCCUGAUGGAGGGGGAUAACUGCUGGAAACGGUAGCUAAUACCGCAUAACGUCGCAAGACCAAAGAGGGGGACCUUCGGGCCUCUCGCCAUCGGAUGUGCCCAGAUGGGAUUAGCUAGUAGGUGGGGUAACGGCUCACCUAGGCGACGAUCCCUAGCUGGUCUGAGAGGAUGACCAGCCACACUGGAACUGAGACACGGUCCAG
RNAcentral lists this ribosomal RNA (228 nucleotides) under uncultured bacterium. RNAcentral's name for it is "partial 16S ribosomal RNA". It matches the Rfam family "Bacterial small subunit ribosomal RNA", at positions 103 to 334 of the family's 1533-position model. The record is from RNAcentral.